UGCAAGUCGAGCGAGCUGAAUUCAAAGAUCCCUUCGGGGUGAUUUGUUGGACGCUAGCGGCGGAUGGGUGAGUAACACGUGGGCAAUCUGCCCUAAAGACUGGGAUACCACUUGGAAACAGGUGCUAAUACCGGAUAACAACAUGAAUCGCAUGAUUCAAGUUUGAAAGGCGGCGCAAGCUGUCACUUUAGGAUGAGCCCGCGGCGCAUUAGCUAGUUGGUGGGGUAAAGGCCUACCAAGGCAAUGAUGCGUAGCCGAGUUGAGAGACUGAUCGGCCACAUUGGGACUGAGACACGGCCCAAACUCCUACGGGAGGCAGCAGUAGGGAAUCUUCCACAAUGGACGCAAGUCUGAUGGAGCAACGCCGCGUGAGUGAAGAAGGUUUUCGGAUCGUAAAGCUCUGUUGUUGGUGAAGAAGGAUAGAGGCAGUAACUGGUCUUUAUUUGACGGUAAUCAACCAGAAAGUCACGGCUAACUACGUGCCAGCAGCC
This 491-nucleotide ribosomal RNA is filed under the name Lactobacillus delbrueckii. RNAcentral describes it as "bacterial SSU rRNA". It matches the Rfam family "Bacterial small subunit ribosomal RNA", at positions 56 to 516 of the family's 1533-position model. The record is from RNAcentral. Lineage: Bacteria; Bacillati; Bacillota; Bacilli; Lactobacillales; Lactobacillaceae.